RNAcentral lists this long non-coding RNA (1669 nucleotides) under Helianthus annuus (common sunflower). RNAcentral's name for it is "hypothetical non coding rna". The record is from RNAcentral. Lineage: Eukaryota; Viridiplantae; Streptophyta; Magnoliopsida; Asterales; Asteraceae.
GCUUUACAACUUCAAAAUUUCCCACGUUCUCAGUGAAAAUUUCUUGUAAACAUUCAUUUCCCUCUCACUAUUGGUUUCCCUCCCCUUCUAAAAUUUCUCCCGACUCGUUUUCCCUCUUCUAAAAUUAUAAUUUGUCUUUCAUUGUUUUUUUUCCUCUAGAACCCUAGGUUUUUGCGAUUCAAUUUGAUUUACUUUUCAAUAGAUUAUUAAUCCCGUUAGCCAAUUCAAAUUGAUCAGAACCCUAGAUUGCAUGUCUAAUCUCUGUUUAUUCUGGCUUUUGCAGGUCAUUAAGUUCGUCUCGUCUUUUGUGACUCGUCUUCUUCGCUGUCAGCCAAUAUAAGCCCAAACCAUGAAAUCAUGGACAGAUCUUGGACGUAUUUUGCGUGCAACAUGGAACGUGAAGUAGAUGCUGAAGAAAAUGACCAUAACUCAAUUAUUACUCAUUAAUCAAUAUUCCUAUCUAGCGAUGGCUAGUGGUGCUGGCGCAAGGUCUCUUUCAAGGUUAUCGCACCUCUGAUCCCAAGCUGCCAAUCAAAGUACUUAGCCCUCCAGAAGGAGCUCCUUAGUGUUGCUCUUAAAUUUGCUGCUGAAUAAUUCAAAGUUCCUCAACAAACUAGUGCUGCCAUCACCAACGGUAGCUUGUUUUCUCGUUUUGAUUCAUUUCGUUGAUGUUUUUAUUUGAUUUUUUUUGUAUGCAUUUUACAGAUGUUUCAGAGCAUCACCAUAUGCUAUUCUAGUUUUACUCACUUCUUUAUCUGCAACACGACAAUUGCAAUGCACCUUAAAAAGAUUUAUUCAAACAUCACUACAUUUAUAUGUCAUUUGCCAAACAAAGUGUUGAGCGUAUAUGUGAUAAUAAUAUAUUCCUGGUAAACAUACCUAACUUACAAAAAGUUCUAGUUUGGAACCAACUGUUAGUUUUUAUAACCAUCUUCAUACUUUAUUACUUUAGAUCUAGGGAUUUUCUUGGAGAAAGUGAAAGUUAGAACUACAACCAUUAUUUGUUUCAUAACUCAUGUAGUGCAAUGUGAUUACAUGCUGCCCAACGUUAAUUAUUAUCGGGGAAUUUUAUUUAUAUGGUUAAUACAAAUUGAAACUGGUCUACAUAAUGAAUGCAUUUAGUGUUGAUGCUCAUGUGGUAGUCAUUUGUAGCCAUUUAAUCACUGUAUAAAUUUACAAAUUUUGAUUGUUGGAGGAAUAGUAAUAUAUAACUUUUUUUUUUCCUAACUCAGGUUUUCAUUGCUCAUGCAUGUGAGGUUGUGUCAACUGUAUAUGGAGUAACUAAGCGCGUAUUUUAAUUUUUGGAAUUACAUCUCCCACGUCUUAAUACUCUAUUAUGUGAGGUUAUUGCACUCGAAGGGGAACUUAAAGCUAACGACGGUAGAUCGAGACAAAUCUACAGGGAAUAUGAAAGAAUGUCAAUGUUCACGAGCACAAAAUUUAUGGAUUUUGAGGGCAUAAUAUCGAACAUGCAAGUGAAAUGAUGACCUGAUCGAGGAUGUUAGUAAAAACAUAUUAUUUAAUAUUAUAUAAAGUUCAUAUUUAGUUAAUUCGUAUAAUUUAUUCAUACGUUCGAUUGGUUAUUGUUUUAAAGUUUAAAUCAAAGCGUUAUUGUAUAGUUUGUUGAAUACGUUGAGAAUGAAAUGACAUCGUAUCGAAGAUUGUUUUC